UCCAUCAUGGCAAGCACUCCCUCAACUCCUCAGCACUGGCAGCAGUGCAAGAGCAUGCUAUUAAAUAUGAAUAUCUUAUGGUGUUAAGCUGCCACCCUCUAUAAAUAGCAAGGCAUUCAUUUUAAUCAUUUUAUUGGAAUAUGGAAGCCUGGAAAUAUAUUGCUUUGGGAUUUGAAUAUUUAUUGCCUUUUGCAAUGUUCUGCUGCUUGAUUUCCCACUCCAAGAGCAGCCGUAUCCUCGUAACCAUGGAAACCACUCAUGGCAAAUUCCCUCAAAAUGCAAAAGCAGAAGGAUGGAAAGGAACAAAUAUUUUAAGAAGGUUGCACAUGAAGAGGAAGACAGCAUCCUGUCUUCACAGACGCAAGACAGGAUAAAACCACAGUAUCCUCUUGCUGGAGGGCUUGCCAUUGGAUUGGCGACCUUCCUCACCAGACAGCUGGCAUUAGACAAAGUCCUCUGUUUCAUCUUUAA
Long non-coding RNA from Passer domesticus (house sparrow), 471 nucleotides. RefSeq lists it as uncharacterized. The transcript has 2 exons. The record is from RefSeq and is a predicted model, not a curated record. Lineage: Eukaryota; Metazoa; Chordata; Aves; Passeriformes; Passeridae.